This 1505-nucleotide ribosomal RNA is filed under the name Nocardiopsis prasina. RNAcentral describes it as "bacterial SSU rRNA". It matches the Rfam family "Bacterial small subunit ribosomal RNA". The record is from RNAcentral. Lineage: Bacteria; Bacillati; Actinomycetota; Actinomycetes; Streptosporangiales; Nocardiopsidaceae.
AGAGGUUUGAUUCCUGGCUUCCAGGACGAACGCUGGCGGCGUGCUUUAACACAUUGCAAGUCGAAGCGGUAAGGCCCUUCGGGGUACACGAGCGGCGAACGGGUGAGUAACACGUGAGCAACCUGCCCCUGACUCCGGGAUAAGCGGUGGAAACGCCGUCUAAUACCGGAUACGACCCGCCACCUCAUGGUGGAGGGUGGAAAGUUUUAUCGGUCAGGGAUGGGCUCGCGGCCUAUCAGCUUUGUUGGUGGGGUAACGGCCUACCAAGGCGAUUACGGGUAGCCGGCCUGAGAGGGCGACCGGCCACACUGGGACUGAGACACGGCCCAGACUCCUGCGGGAGGCAGCAGUGGGGAAUAUUGCACAAUGGGCGAAAGCCUGAUGCAGCGACGCCGCGUGGGGGAUGACGGCCUUCGGGUUGUAAACCUCUUUUACCACCAACGCAGGCUCCACGUUCUCGUGGGGUUGACGGUAGGUGGGGAAUAAGGACCGGCUAACUACGUGCCAGCAGCCGCGGUAAUACGUAGGGUCCGAGCGUUGUCCGGAAUUAUUGGGCGUAAAGAGCUCGUAGCGGCAUGUCGCGUCUGCUGUGAAAGACCGGGGCUUAACUCCGGUUCUGCAGUGGAUACGGGCAUGCUAGAGGUAGGUAGGGGAAACUGGAAUUCCUGGUGUAGCGGUGAAAUGCGCAGAUAUCAGGAGGAACACCGGUGGCGAAGGCGGGUUUCUGGGCCUUACCUGACGCUGAGGAGCGAAAGCAUGGGGAGCGAACAGGAUUAGAUACCCUGGUAGUCCAUGCCGUAAACGUUGGGCGCUAGGUGUGGGGACUUUCCACGGUUUCCGCGCCGUAGCUAACGCAUUAAGCGCCCCGCCUGGGGAGUACGGCCGCAAGGCUAAAACUCAAAGGAAUUGACGGGGGCCCGCACAAGCGGCGGAGCAUGUUGCUUAAUUCGACGCAACGCGAAGAACCUUACCAAGGUUUGACAUCACCCGUGGACCUGUAGAGAUACAGGGUCAUUUAGUUGGUGGGUGACAGGUGGUGCAUGGCUGUCGUCAGCUCGUGUCGUGAGAUGUUGGGUUAAGUCCCGCAACGAGCGCAACCCUUGUUCCAUGUUGCCAGCACGUAAUGGUGGGGACUCAUGGGAGACUGCCGGGGUCAACUCGGAGGAAGGUGGGGACGACGUCAAGUCAUCAUGCCCCUUAUGUCUUGGGCUGCAAACAUGCUACAAUGGCCGGUACAAUGGGCGUGCGAUACCGUAAGGUGGAGCGAAUCCCUUAAAGCCGGUCUCAGUUCGGAUUGGGGUCUGCAACUCGACCCCAUGAAGGUGGAGUCGCUAGUAAUCGCGGAUCAGCAACGCCGCGGUGAAUACGUUCCCGGGCCUUGUACACACCGCCCGUCACGUCAUGAAAGUCGGCAACACCCGAAACUUGUGGCCUAACCCUUCGGGGAGGGAAUGAGUGAAGGUGGGGCUGGCGAUUGGGACGAAGUCGUAACAAGGUACCCGUAG